This 303-nucleotide unclassified non-coding RNA is filed under the name uncultured fungus. RNAcentral's name for it is "sequence contains ITS2". Lineage: Eukaryota; Fungi. The record is from RNAcentral.
AACGCACCUUGCGCUCCUUGGCAUUCCGAGGAGCAUGCCUGUUCGAGUGUCUUUGAAACAGUCGGCCCCAAGCCAUUGGGGAUCGGAUCCUUUGGACGGUUGGUGCAGCCUUCUCCCUGAGGGUUGCUCGUCCUAAACUCAUUAGCCGUGACGCGUUUCGUCCUGGUGGUGGAGUGUAAAUGCACCUCCCCGUCUUUCAUGCCAGUGUCGUGUCGUGCCGUGCGGCUGCCAGCCGUCUCGCAAAGGGACAGGUCACCUUUUUUUUUUGGCCUCGAAUCAGGUAGGACUACCCGCUGAACUUAA